Homo sapiens (human) is the source of this 508-nucleotide long non-coding RNA. Ensembl annotates it as ARHGEF26 antisense RNA 1. Its record names the gene ARHGEF26-AS1. Lineage: Eukaryota; Metazoa; Chordata; Mammalia; Primates; Hominidae. The record is from Ensembl.
AUUAUAUUAAGAAAUAUUAUUUCUUGACUGAAAUAAACAUUGUUAAGUAAUAAUUCUAAAGCCAAAGAAGUACAAAUGUUAACUAUAAAAUGCCUAUUUAUUCAUUGACACCAUAUUUUUCUUCAAUUCUUUGAACUUUUUUUUUUUUUUUUAAUUUGAGAUGGAGUCUUACUCUGUUGCCCAGGCUGGAGUGCAGUGGCACCAUCUUGACUCACUGCAACCUCCACCUUCCAGGUUCAAGCGAUCCUCCGGCUUCAGCCCCCCUAGUAGCUGGGAUUACAGUUUCCAGUUCAUUUUGGAAGCUUAAAAGUUGGCCUUUUAGCUUCACUUCAUAGACAUGCAGUGAAGGCAGUGAGGGGCUGUGGUGUGAUCCAGGAGGCUGAGAAUUAUGCAGUGGGUGCUGUCACCUUGAAGACAUCAGCGUGAUCAGGCAGAUCAUCAUGGUACUGCAUUUCCUGGACACGAUCUUAAUUUUCUUAAUACCUCCACCGACAUUUCAAAUAGCGUC